AUAACUAUAUAAUCUGCGUCUAGAACUUGACCUUUUGCGGCAUCACGCCACUUCGAAACUUAUCUGUAUUACGCCACCUUCAAAAAGAUCCGAAGUGAAUCUUUAAUUCAAGGUAAGAAAAAAAGAUUUUUCUAAUAGCGAUAAGGGUUAUCUUUAAGAAUUAUUGUCUUAUAAUCUUGUAAUCUGUCGAAUUUUCAAUUCCCUUCUUGAUACCAUAUUCGUCUCACGUGUGUUAAUAAAUUAUAUAAUCUGUGACUGUAUAAAAGACGCUUUUAAUAAGGUAAUAUUUCUGUAAGGGUAUUAAAACGAUGGUAAUAUUUAAUACAAAAAAAGAAAACGACAUUAAAGAGAAAAAUUGACUACGUGUAACAAUAUGUACUUAGACAUUAGUUUGUUGAAUGUCUGAAGUAUUUCAUCAUCUAUAUGUUAACGUAUAUUAUUUCGAAACAACUAUAACUUGAAUGUCUUCUCUUUAUAGUUAGAAAAUGCCUCCCCGAAAUUUGGAAAAAUGUGUCUACGUGACAGAAGCUGAUCAGAAAGAUGAAUUGGAAGCUGUAAUAGAACAAAAUCAACCAGCUAAACAACCUCCAACCAAAAUUGUUUGGCGAAACGUAAUUUGGAUGAUAUAUUUGCAUAUAGCCGCCCUUUAUGGAGUUUAUUUAAUGUACUACUGCAAAUGGCAAAGUUGGAUUUGGUUUGCCGUCACAUAUGGUAUGUCCGGUCUUGGAAUAACCGCAGGAGCUCACAGAUUAUGGGCACAUAGAUCUUACAAAGCUAAACUUCCUUUGAGAAUUGUUCUUGCAAUAUGGAAUACAAUGGCCUUCCAAAAUGAUGUCAUUGAAUGGUCUCGUGAUCACCGCGUUCAUCACAAAUAUUCUGAAACGGAUGCUGAUCCCCAUAACGCAAACCGAGGUUUCUUUUUUUCUCAUGUUGGAUGGCUAUUGGUCAGAAAGCAUCCAGAGGUUAGGGCUAAAGGAAAAAGAGUUAAUAUUGAUGAUCUGCUAGCCGAUCCUGUCCUUGUAUUUCAAAGGAAAGUAUACCUUCCAGCCAUGAUUUUUACCUGUUUCUUCUUUCCAUCUCUUGUUGCUUGGUACUUUUGGGGUGAAUCUUGGUGGACAGCAUUCUUCACCGUUGGAAUUCUUCGUUAUACUCUUGUGUUGAAUGCAACUUGGGCAGUUAAUUCGGUUGCUCAUAUGUUUGGUAACAAGCCCUAUGAUCGCGAAAUUAGCCCAGUCGAAACUCUAAGUGUUGCUGUAGCUGCUUUGGGAGAAGGUUAUCAUAAUUACCAUCACACAUUUCCCCAAGAUUAUUCUGCAUCGGAAUUUGGUUGGGGAAGAAAUUGUACAACAGCGUUUAUUGACUUUUGCGCUUGGAUUGGACAGGCAUACGGAAUGAAAAAAAUUAGUCCAGAAAUGAUUAAAAGACGAAUGGAAAGAACAGGAGACGGAUCUACAGGUUUUGGAUAUACGAAUCCUCCGAAAAAACUUGAUUAA
This 1493-nucleotide unclassified non-coding RNA is filed under the name Dimorphilus gyrociliatus. RNAcentral's name for it is "fA_desaturase domain-containing protein". The record is from RNAcentral. Lineage: Eukaryota; Metazoa; Annelida; Polychaeta; Dinophilidae.